This is a non-coding RNA of Ceratotherium simum simum (southern white rhinoceros), 524 nucleotides long. The record is from RefSeq and is a predicted model, not a curated record. Lineage: Eukaryota; Metazoa; Chordata; Mammalia; Perissodactyla; Rhinocerotidae.
AGAAAAAGAAAGGCUUGCUGUAUCUCUGAAGGAGGCUCCAGCCCUCUUGGGGCAUCUUCCUCAGACACUGAAUGAACAGGUGGGGCAGAGGCUGCCAGGAGUCCAGGAGGAGCGGCUCAUUCAGAUACGCAGCCAACAUUGACUCUCCCUCUGCCCACCUGCAGAAUGGCUGACGGGCCUAAGAAUCCUGCAGACUUCAAUUUACCAGUCUUCAGAGACAGGCUGUCAGUUCCAGUCCUAGGUACAGACCUAAGAGAAAGGAGUGUCAGGUCCUCCAGAAGACAAACAAGAAUGUUCAUAGCCCCCUAAGGCACAGCCUCCAACAGGCAACAACCCAUGGGGAUGAAGGGGAACAGCUCCAGCAAAAACGGCAGGUGAGGAUGAAGACGGUUCAGAGGAAGCAGACCCACAGGCUCUCCUGAGCGCCACGAGAGCUCCAUUGUUCUCUGCAAGUCUCAGAGAUGUCCCCAGCACGCUGCGGGUCAGCUGAAGGAAGUUUUGGCUCCGGGUUUUGUCAUCUCUUC